UCUAAAAUGGCAGAUUAGUGCAAUAGAUUUAAACCCUAUAUAUAAAUUAAAUAUUUUUUUAGAA
Molecule: transfer RNA, 64 nt
Filed under: Conostigmus sp. MM-2013
Lineage: Eukaryota; Metazoa; Arthropoda; Insecta; Hymenoptera; Megaspilidae
Description: tRNA-Leu
Source: RNAcentral